This 440-nucleotide ribosomal RNA is filed under the name uncultured bacterium. RNAcentral's name for it is "partial 16S ribosomal RNA". It matches the Rfam family "Bacterial small subunit ribosomal RNA", at positions 338 to 795 of the family's 1533-position model. The record is from RNAcentral.
CCUACGGGUGGCAGCAGUAGGGAAUAUUGCUCAAUGGGGGAAACCCUGAAGCAGCAACGCCGCGUGGAGGAUGAAGGUUUUCGGAUUGUAAACUCCUUUUGUUAGAGAAGAUAAUGACGGUAUCUAACGAAUAAGCACCGGCUAACUCCGUGCCAGCCGCCGCGGUAAUACGGAGGGUGCAAGCGUUACUCGGAAUCACUGGGCGUAAAGAGCGCGUAGGCGGGAUAGCAAGUCAGAUGUGAAAUCCUAGGGCUCAACCAUAGAACUGCAUUUGAAACUGUUAGUCUAGAGUAAGGGAGAGGUAGGUGGAAUUCUUGGUGUAGGGGUAAAAUCCGUAGAGAUCAAGAGGAAUACUCGUGGCGAAGGCGACUUGCUGGAACAUAACUGACGCUGAGGCACGAAAGCGUGGGGAGCAAACAGGAUUAGAUACCCGUGUAGUC